GGAGAGAUACCCCUAAUUGGUAAGGGAGCUGAUUGUAACUCAGUCAGGCAUACGCCUACUACAGGUUCAAGUCCUGUUCUCUUCA
Transfer RNA from Macrophomina phaseolina MS6, 85 nucleotides. It matches the Rfam family "tRNA". From Rfam's summary of the family: Transfer RNA (tRNA) molecules are approximately 80 nucleotides in length. NCBI's taxonomy places the organism in Eukaryota, Fungi, Ascomycota, Dothideomycetes, Botryosphaeriales, Botryosphaeriaceae. The record is from Rfam.